GUGCUCGUUUCAGCAGCACAUAUAUUAAUAUUGGAACGGUACAGAGAAGAUUAGCAUGGUCCCUGAUCAAGGAUGACACGCAAGUUCAUGAAGUGUUCCAUAUUUUU
Molecule: small nuclear RNA, 107 nt
Organism: Capra hircus (goat)
Lineage: Eukaryota; Metazoa; Chordata; Mammalia; Artiodactyla; Bovidae
Source: Ensembl